UACGGAGGGUGCAAGCGUUGCUCGGAAUUAUUGGGCGUAAAGGGUAGGUAGGUGGUCUCAUUUGUCUGGGGUGAAAGCCUUGAGCUUAACUCAAGAAGUGCCCCAGAAACGGUGAGACUGGAGUCCUGGAGAGGGUCGUGGAAUUCCCGGUGUAGCGGUGAAAUGCGUAGAGAUCGGGAGGAAGACCAGUGGCGAAGGCGGGUCUCUGGACAGUUCCUGACACUGAGGCACGAAGGCCAGGGGAGCAAACGGG
This 253-nucleotide ribosomal RNA is filed under the name uncultured bacterium. RNAcentral's name for it is "partial 16S ribosomal RNA". It matches the Rfam family "Bacterial small subunit ribosomal RNA", at positions 524 to 776 of the family's 1533-position model. The record is from RNAcentral.